GAUUUCUGAAUAAUAGUGUCUGGCCGGCCACGGUUUCGUGUGUUAGUGCUUGAUACUUUGUUCAUCCUUCCAAUUGCUUUCUACUAUUCUUCAUUGAAUCGGUAGGGAGUAUUGGAUCGUUUACUUUGAAAAAAUUAGAGUGUUUCAAGCAGGCUUCAAUGCUAUGAAUACAUUAGCAUGGAAUAAUAAUUUAGGACUUUGGUUCUAUUUUGUUGGUUUCUAGGACUGAAGUAAUGAUUGAUAGGGUCAGUUGGGGGUGCUAGUAUUCAGCGGCCAGAGGUGAAAUUCUCGGAUUCGCUGAAGACUAACUUAUGCGAAAGCAUU
This 324-nucleotide ribosomal RNA is filed under the name uncultured Eocercomonas. RNAcentral's name for it is "partial 18S ribosomal RNA". The stretch from base 62 to 324 matches the Rfam family "Eukaryotic small subunit ribosomal RNA", at positions 693 to 955 of the family's 1831-position model. The record is from RNAcentral. Lineage: Eukaryota; Cercozoa; Cercomonadida; Cercomonadidae.